RNAcentral lists this ribosomal RNA (253 nucleotides) under uncultured bacterium. Its description in RNAcentral is "partial 16S ribosomal RNA". It matches the Rfam family "Bacterial small subunit ribosomal RNA", at positions 524 to 776 of the family's 1533-position model. The record is from RNAcentral.
GACAGAGGCGCCGAGCGUUAGGCGGAAUCACUGGGCUUAAAGCGUGUGUAGGCGGACCCGUCAGUGUCUUGUGAAAUCCCACGGCUCAACCGUGGAACGGCUGGGCAUACCGCGGGUCUUGAGACACCUAGGGGCGAGCGGAACAGGCGGUGGAGCGGUGAAAUGCGUAGAUAUCGCCUGGAACGCCGACGGUGAAAACAGCUCGCUGGGGGUGUUCUGACGCUGAGACACGAAAGCCAGGGGAGCGAACGGG